AAAAGAAGAUCGCUUCACGGAGAAAGGAGAGAGAGAUCGUGAGAAAAGAGAGACAAAGAAAUAGAGAGACAGAGAUAGAGAGAAGGGCGCCAGCCAGACCAAAUCUUCUGCCAUCACCAUAGAGAAGGAGGAAAAAAAAACCUUGCGAUAUAGAGAUGAGAA
Quercus robur (English oak) is the source of this 162-nucleotide long non-coding RNA. RefSeq lists it as uncharacterized. The record is from RefSeq and is a predicted model, not a curated record. Lineage: Eukaryota; Viridiplantae; Streptophyta; Magnoliopsida; Fagales; Fagaceae. The transcript has 2 exons.